RNAcentral lists this transfer RNA (73 nucleotides) under Camelus ferus (Wild Bactrian camel). It matches the Rfam family "tRNA". From Rfam's summary of the family: Transfer RNA (tRNA) molecules are approximately 80 nucleotides in length. Their secondary structure includes four short double-helical elements and three loops (D, anti-codon, and T loops). The record is from Rfam by way of RNAcentral. Lineage: Eukaryota; Metazoa; Chordata; Mammalia; Artiodactyla; Camelidae.
AGGGGUAUAGGUCAAGUGGUAGAGUGCAUGUUUAGCAUACAUAAGAUCCUGGGUUCAAUCCCCAGUACCUCCC